Molecule: ribosomal RNA, 305 nt
Filed under: uncultured bacterium
Lineage: Bacteria
Description: bacterial SSU rRNA
Rfam family: Bacterial small subunit ribosomal RNA
Source: RNAcentral
CUUCCUACGGGACGCAGCAGUGGGGAAUAUUGCGCAAUGGGGGAAACCCUGACGCAGCAACGCCGCGUGCGGGAUGAAGGCUUUCGGGUUGUAAACCGCUUUCAGCAGGGAAGAUAGUGACGGUACCUGCAGAAGAAGCCCCGGCUAACUACGUGCCAGCAGCCGCGGUAAUACGUAGGGGGCAAGCGUUAUCCGGAUUUACUGGGUGUAAAGGGAGCGUAGACGGCGAGGCAAGUCUGGAGUGAAAGCCCGGGGCUCAACCCCGGGACUGCUUUGGAAACUGCCUGGCUGGAGUGCUGGAGAGG